Small nuclear RNA from Phyllostomus discolor (pale spear-nosed bat), 104 nucleotides. Lineage: Eukaryota; Metazoa; Chordata; Mammalia; Chiroptera; Phyllostomidae. The record is from RefSeq and is a predicted model, not a curated record.
GUGCUCGCUUCGACAGCACAUAUAAAAUUGGAACUAUACAGAGAAGAUUCUCAUGGCCCCUGCACAAGAAUGACAUGCAAAUUCAUGAAGUGUUCUCUAGUUUU